Long non-coding RNA from Asterias rubens (European starfish), 3767 nucleotides. RefSeq lists it as uncharacterized. The record is from RefSeq and is a predicted model, not a curated record. NCBI's taxonomy places the organism in Eukaryota, Metazoa, Echinodermata, Asteroidea, Forcipulatida, Asteriidae. The transcript is spliced from 3 exons.
UCGUCACCAAGUAAGGUUUUAUGCUAAUAGUUAUUUUGAGUAAUUACCAAUAGUGUCCACUGCCUUUAACACAUAAUUUUUAUUGUAUCGUGGUGAAUUGGUCAUUGUCCAAAUUAUUAAGUGGGUAUUUUUAUUGGAGUGUUUCUAAAUUGAAGUCAUUUUCGCCCUAGUCUUGUGUUGGCAUCUGCAGCUCUCCUUAAAAAGUCUUUAACAAGAAGAUUUUUGUAUAGAAAUAUUUUGCAGAUGAUUUUUGGAGGUCCAGCAAAGUUGAGCUCCUCCAUUUUGUUUUAUCACCUUUUUAAAAUAUUCAGUAAAAGCGAUAUCAACUUUCGAGACUUAAUUUUCAAAAAAGUUUGAAUUAUUUACAUUUAAGACACUCCUUUGACCAACAUGUAGUUUGUAGGCAAUGAUCAUGACCAGGGGGCAUGGAGGCAAUCACCUUCGUUGCCUCCAUGAAGAAUCAGGCCUGAGUUUUGGGUAUGUCUGUUCACUCUCAUAAUGACUUUUUCUGAACUUCAUGUAACCAAUUUUGUGCUCUUUCCCUCAUAGCAGUCUUAAACAUCUGCAAUUUAUGCAAAACCACUAUAUUUGUACCCUUUGGAUAUACUAGUCAUGGGAGAGCAGGAAAGACUUCAAGCCUGAAGCCCUUUUCUUGCAUCUGAAAGCACACAUAAGUGCAACAAUGGUGUUUAUUCUUUUAUUAUUUUCUUGCCACUUCGAUGACCAAUUGAGUCAAUUUUUUCUGGACGUUGACAAAUACCAAACAGGAAAAUCUUGGGAACAAAUGGAGAAGCCUAAAACAACAUGACAUGUCCUCAGUGGCCCUUAAACCGCUCAUCACAUGAAAAGCCCUCUAGACAUUGCAUUUCUUAUGAGAGGGAACAGACAUCACCGAAAAAAUUCACUUCAGCCGUCACUAAAAACAAGUUAUGUAAUUGGUUGUUAGGAUUAAUAAAGUAAAUUAUUAUGUCUGAUUCUUUUAGUGUAGGCCUAAUGCACACGAAUAAUCUGCUUUCAAAUAAAAUAGACAUAUAUACAUUUUUCUCUUUUUGCUAGUGAUUUUUAUAUCUCGAUGUAGGCCUACUAUAUUUACAAUUCAGCCAUGUGCUGUGAUUGUGAAUAAACCUUUUAUCUGUCUAUAAUCAUUCUUUCUAUCUAUCUAUCUUUCUUUGAAUCUGUGGAGCGCAACAGCCAGCGGCAACGCUUUUCUUGUUACAGAUAACAUAUGUUAAAACCAACGUUGACAUUAAAGUCCGCUUUUAACUGGAAGUAAAGGUCACAUGGGGUCAAACUCUGUGUAGCACUUCUUAGAGUAUUCAAAGUCCAUCAUUUGAUGUAUAGAUUGUAUUUUUAUAUAAAACAUUCGUUUUAAAACAUGUUUAAAUUUGUUAUUCAAUGUGUUUGGGCCAAACAGUAAAAAAUAAAAGAUAAAGUAUCAACCAGGAUUAAGGCAGGAUGGAGCUCAUUUGGACAAAACAGAGGUACACUUGGUGAUAAGAACAGAAUUACAAGUAUAGCACUUAGGAGAAAAAUAACUUGAUCAGUGUGUGCUACGAACAAUAACUUAUGGAGCAGAGACAGAACUGAUCGAACAUAAACUCUGCAAAGCACAGAAAGCACACAGAGCAAUGAAGAGACAAUUGUGCAUCUCAAAUAGAGACAGGAUUAAAUGCACAGAAACACCAAAGAAAAUUGGAGGAAGAGAAUGUUAUAUAAGGACAAUAAAACAAGCUAAAUGGAAAUGGGCUGGACACACUGCCUGAAGAAAUGACAACAGAUGGACAACAAGAAUAUCGGAUUGGCAACCAAGGAUAAGGAAAAGAGAAGAGAAUGGAGAGAUGACAUCAGGGUUUAUGCACGAACAACAUGGACAAAAACUGCAAGAAAUUGAAAUGAAUGGCUUUUACAUUUGGAGGGACAUCCUACACAGCCUAAAUGAUGAUGAUGAAUAGUGACAGCACUAUGAUGUAGCUGAAGAAUGUUCAGUUUCAAGUUUCUAAUGGGAGUUGCCUGCUGGCUGGAUGUGUGUAGGCUGGAGUGUGUCAUCAGUGCUGUGGUGAGUGGAUGCAGGUGUUGGAAGAACUGUUGUCUUGGCAUGGGGCCCAUAAUGUAGCAGAGCAGAGGUUGGGGCGAAGAUCAGCAUUCUGGGUGUGUCCAGUUCGAACUCUUCCAUAUAUGAGCAAUUUCGUCAUUGAAUUUCACCAGAACCAUGGAUAGAGGAGAUCCCGUGGUAGGGGCCCAGCAGUUUGCUCAUAGAACAGGUCCAUUUGUUGGAAGCUUGAUGAAGCAAUACUUGGGCGAUAAGAAGAUCAAGGAUUUGUUGAGGAAUGAGGCUCAUGGCCAUUGGGUCUAUGUCAUGGUGGAAUCGGCUUGGCAUUGUUUUGCAUUGAGGCAUGCUUUUUUCGUAGGAACUCGUUUUAUGGUGAAGAAAACUGAAAUUCUGUGUUAGGCCAAACUAGUUGGUGUGGAGAAUCUUGGUGAGAUGUCUGGCCGUGUUGUAGGCUGGUAAACCACUCGACCCACUUUGUUAUUGAGGGAGUCAUCAAGAUUGUGUAUCUUGGGUUGACUGAGGAAACAAGGGCAGUAGGAUUCAGAGAGCUUGAGAUUGCAGAGGGCUUUUAAAAUGACGCUUAAUUAGCUUGAAACAAAUGGAGAGACCGGAGCUGCUAUGUGAUCUUGCAUUUAAUAUCUGGGAUGGGCUUUCUUGUAGGUGCUGUCCCUAACACAACUCUAUAUAACCCUCAUCUUAACACUAACCCUAGGACUACCCGGGAGUUCUAUCACCUUAACCCUUAACAUAACCCUAUAACAUACCUACACUCAUGUCCAAUACUUACAGACAACUGACUACUCUAACCAACUCUUACAGGCACCAACUAAUACACUUAUAGAUACCUACCAAGAAAACCCCAUCCCAGAUAUUGAAUGUAAGAUCACAUACCAGUUUCGGUCUCAAGCCUAGAUGUACGGUGCAGCGCAAUGUGGCAGAUUUCGCUAUUGCUCUCCUUAAAACGUCUCUGUUUUCUCUGUUUUCUUGCUAUAUUGGUUGUCUACCAGUAUGUGAACUCCUGACAGCGUUGACCGUGGGUUGCAUUGAACACACACGAAGGUUCAAUUAACUGGCUUUUCUGUCCUCGUUCCGGAGCUUUGUUUACAUUCAACAAGUCAUACUGAAUACACGAGAAGAUAAAGAACCUUACUGGUGAGCAGAUUUACCGAUUGGCCUACAGAGGCCGCCAGCAUCACUUGACGGGAGUGGUGCUGGCACCCCCUACUGGUUGAUCGGCACCGCCUCUACACUGCCACUCCUAGGCCCUUGCAUGUCCCAGAAGCAGGCAGCGAGCACCAUCGCCUGCAAGUGAAGCCAGUGAGAACAAAAUAGGGGGAAACUGUCCUGAUGGUCCCGCUGCACCUAAGUCCUGUGCAGUAGUUGUUUUCCUCAAAACUGUGGGUAACUCCUUUUAGAGAUCACAGUGGCGGGUGGACUGGCAGGGGUCCUCGAUGAAUGUUGCCGCAACCUGGGUGCUGUUACUUGCGGCAGAGGCAGGUCGGUCAGUGCUCUCCUUCUGGGUGCUGUUAUCCACCUAAAAGGAUGGUUCACUCCCCGUCCGGCCAGGUGUUUGGAGUUCCCGUGUCCUCUGCUCCACCGGGACGGUCCUGGUCGUGGCUACCCUCUGCCGCUGGGUUAGGUGGUGUCAGAGGCCACUCCGAGGGGAGAUGGUCCUCUGUGUCGAGAAAUGUCUCGCUCUUUGGUUGAGCCGUCAACC